Musca domestica (house fly) is the source of this 1229-nucleotide long non-coding RNA. RefSeq lists it as uncharacterized. The record is from RefSeq and is a predicted model, not a curated record. The transcript is spliced from 3 exons. Lineage: Eukaryota; Metazoa; Arthropoda; Insecta; Diptera; Muscidae.
UUACAUAGAAGGUGAACUUAAAAUAACAAUAUCAAAUGCGUUAGGAAGCGCAACACAAUGUCAAAGGAAAAAAAAUCAAAUAAAAGAAGACACAAUUCAGACUGGGAACGGGAAGAUUGGACUCAUGGUUGGCUUAAACCUAUAAAUUUUGCCCCAUAGGCCUUUCGUGAAGCCAAUGACAGUUCGACAGAUUUACCGUGGUGUGCACUUUAUUCUCAAAAAAAAAAAAAAAAAAUUAAAAAAAACAUAGUGAAUCAACGAAACAUAAAACCAAAUUUGCUUCACUUUUUGCAAAAAAUACUUUGCAUACUUAUGGUAUCGUUUGUGACAAACCCGAAGAUAAAAUAAUAGACAUAAAACUGGCAAUUUUCGCAGCGACUCAUACUUCUAUUUCAAGCAUUGAUCAUCUAACAGAGAUGUUAAAAACACUAUCCAUUAAAGAGUUCGAAAAAUUGAAGUUGCACAGAACAAAGUGCAGUGCAAUAAUAAAGCGUAUUUAUUGGAGGGUUUGCUUGCAUAUAUUGAUAAAGUUGGAUUAAACCAGAAAAACAUAUUAGCUACUGGCACAGAUAGUGCCAACAAUUUAUGUGGUACUCGCAAAGGUGUAUAUGGAUUAAUGAAAUUAUCAUAUCCACAAUUGAUUCUGGUAAAAUGUAUUUGCCAUUCCUUGCAUUUGUGUUGUUCCCAUGCUUCGAAAAUUUUUCCAGGCGAAGUACAAUAUUUAAUAAAAGAGCUAUACAACUACUUCAGCAAUAGCACUUUGCGCAUUAUAAAGAACAAACGUGCCUUUGACCUAAUAAAUACGGGUUGUGACGUAAUCAAAGUUAGGAAGCUGGUAAAAAUUGCAGGAUGGUUGUCUUGUGGUUCGGCUAUAGAAUGUGUUUUACAUCAAUGGAUAGAAUUAAAGUACCAUUUUUCAAUUAUUUCAACCACUGAGGGGGAAUUGACAGCAAAAUGAUAAAUGAACUUAUGGGUAAUGACAAGAUAAAGUUGUAUUUGAUUUUUAUGUAUUAUUAAUGUUAAUGUUUCAUUUCAAAAUGACAAAAUGGAUCCUGGAACGGCAUAUGACAAAUUACUUCUAUGCAUUUUUUUGUUGUGCACACAAAUUUUAGAACUAUGGGCAAUUGAAACUGUGAAGGAGGAAUAUGACGUUGAUAGAAUACUGGAAGUUAUAUAUGAUGAUUCAUCAUAUUUACCAUUAGAAUCAAUGGAUUUAGGGUAUGAUUUUG